This is a non-coding RNA of Paramuricea clavata, 350 nucleotides long. The record is from the annotation of a GenBank genome assembly. NCBI's taxonomy places the organism in Eukaryota, Metazoa, Cnidaria, Anthozoa, Malacalcyonacea, Plexauridae.
CACAUGACCCUCUCCCUAAACGUAUGUCCCCCAAGAAGAGAAAUUCGAAGAAACGUAAAAUAAACCCUACUCUCCAUCUCCUGUUCUGUCUCCUGUUGCUUCAACAAGUAAUACCCCCGCAGAGGUUUUUACACCUUCGGUUGGGAACUCGUCACCAUCUACUAGCCACCUACAACCAACUAUGGAAGACAUUACAGAUGCCGAGGAUCCCAUUCCAUCUACAUCCUCCUUUUCGAGUAGACCUUCUUCGCCAUGCAAUCCAGAAACAGAUCGUGUUACUCCCUCUUCUGAAGAUUUCAUCAGUGAGUCAAAUGAUACGUUCCAGAUCCCUCCUCCCCUUUCCCCUCAUC